ACUUUUCUCUACAUUUCUAGAUUUCUUUGAGACUUAUCUUCUGCGCCGUCUGCCUUCCCUUCAGCCUUCUUCUUGUAUUUUCACUCACGCCCUGCCCCUGCCUUCUUCUUCUUCAAUCUUCACGCCCAGGACGUCGUGCCUUCUUCUUCUUCUUUAAUCUUCACGCCGUCGUCGCCUGCCUUCUUCUUCUUCACACCAUCUGACGCGUCAUCACAGUCCAAUCCACUGCACACCCACGACUCCACCAGCACACAUGUCUUCUUCUUCGGCCUUACACGUUUUUAGAUCUGGUGAUUUCUGAAGCAAACGGAGCAAAAGAAGGAGGCGGUUAGUUUCGGUGCAUACCGAGUACAUGGAGGUGUUGAAAUGGAAAACCUUGAAUGUCACACGCACAUUGAUCGGCGACCCACGAAGAGGGCGCAUAUGGGCUGGGACGUUCUUCCUCAGAUCCCAAAGAUGCUGCAGCAGUUCCAUGUGGUUUUGGGCUUGCAAUUGUUUGUGUGCUCUUUGUGUUCUUGAUGGGGAUUCGCAUGGGGCCAUGGGGAACAAGUAUAGGUUGAGGUAAUAUUCUAUUGUCAUGAACUUGAUUUCGUAGCACUUUGUGGUCUGGUAUUCCUUUACGUAAAAGGAUCAGAGGUUAUAUUUUUCUUACCGACGGUUCCUUCAAUCCAAUUUUCUUUGGUUCUUCAUCAGUGCAACAUGAAUAUUCCUCAAGCUAUCCUGGGUAUGGAUGUCAUUUGACAAGAGAAGUCUAGAAUGGGUAAAACUGCUGUUUUUGUUCUUUUAACAUUGCAACAAAUUAAACCUGUUGCUGGACAAGUUUCUGCAAUUGUGCUGUGUCAUACAAGGGAGUUAGCUUACCAGAUUUGCUAUGAGUUCGAGAGGCUCAUAGUUUUAUGCAUAGUUUUAUCAGAUCCAAAUCUGAUGAUAUCAAUUUUAUCAGAUCCAAAUCAGUAAUUGUAAAAAAUCUGGAACAAGUUGAUAUUUUAUUUGGCCUUUUGUACAUUAUAAAUCUGGGAAUCAUCUUAUUCAUCUACACGAAGACUGAUGUGAGGAAUGGUGGGGAGGAAGUCAUUCAGGAGGAAUGGGGAGGAAGUCAUUCAGCUGGGCCGGUCUAGGAAAAGGAAGAAAUCUAAUAGAAAGAAUAAUUGGGCUAAACGUAGAUCAUAGUCCAACUGAGCAGCAGCCAAGCUAAGGGUGGCAAGGGGGAAGUGCAACCCUUUAGAGUUGAGAUUACAUUGUUUUAAAUUGUAAUUUGUGUUGUAUUUUAGUUAUUUAUGUAAAUUUUAUCUUUUAGUUUAGUUACAAUUAUGCUUAUUUCAUUUUUUGUAUUUUUUUUUUCUUGUAAUUCAAGAUUUAUUUUUUGAAAGUUUCUUGUAAUAUUGUGAAUUUUUUGUGCCUGAAAUAAGUUAUUUAGUAUUUUUAGAAUAAA
Molecule: long non-coding RNA, 1432 nt
Organism: Alnus glutinosa
Lineage: Eukaryota; Viridiplantae; Streptophyta; Magnoliopsida; Fagales; Betulaceae
Exons: 9
Source: RefSeq, a predicted model, not a curated record